Molecule: ribosomal RNA, 467 nt
Filed under: uncultured bacterium
Lineage: Bacteria
Description: bacterial SSU rRNA
Rfam family: Bacterial small subunit ribosomal RNA
Source: RNAcentral
GAUGAACGCUAGCGGCAGGCCUAAUACAUGCAAGUCAAGGGGAUAGCAAUAUCACCGGCGGACGGGUGCGUAACGCGUACACAACGUGCCCAAGGGCGGAGGAAAGCGGCGGGAAACUGCCGGUAAUACUCCAUGGUGUUGUUGAGUGGCAUCACUUAACAACUAAAGUACAAGCGCCCUUGGAUCGGUGUGCGUUCGAUUAGCUAGUUGGCGGGGUAACGCCCACCAAGGCUUCGAUCGAUAGGGGGUGUGAGAGCAUGACCUCCCACACGGGUACUGAGACACGGACCCGACUCCUACGGGAGGCAGCAGUAAGGAAUAUUGGACAAUGGGCGGAAGCCUGAUCCAGCCAUGCCGCGUGAAGGACGAAGGCGCUCAGCGUUGUAAACUUCUUUUGGAUGGGAACAAUAACUCCGACUUGCCGGAACUUGAGGGUACCAUCAGAAUAAGCACCGGCUAACUCCGUG